This 1101-nucleotide long non-coding RNA is filed under the name Anas platyrhynchos platyrhynchos (common mallard). RNAcentral describes it as "lncRNA (ENSAPLG00000017554.1)". Lineage: Eukaryota; Metazoa; Chordata; Aves; Anseriformes; Anatidae. The record is from RNAcentral.
UCAUUAACAUCAGAAUCCUUCCUGGUCUCCGGCCGACUGCCCAUCGCGGGGGUCAAAGGCAGCGAGCACGACUCUUUGAAUCCAAGCAGCCAGCCGCAUUUUUUGUCGCUGUUUUCCCCUACAAAAGCUCACCUUUCCGUUUUGUUUUGUUUUGUUUAUCACUCUCCGGGCGCCCGCGCUGCUUUAGGUCCCGGCUGCGCUCUCCAUCCUCCCUCCCAACCCCGAGCCGUUCCCCGAGGAGCCGGGGGGCAGCGAGACCACGGCGGGGCCGUGCCCGGAGCUCGGACCCAAACCCAGAGCCGGACCCAAACCCAGAGCCGGACCCGGACCCCGCGGCCAUCCCGCGGCGCCCCGCGCUCGGUCCCGCUCCGCACCCGCGCAGGGCAGCGGCGGGGCAGCCGGGCAUCCCCCCGAUCCCCCCACCUGGCCGCCGCGCCUGCCCACCCGCGGAGACCCCCCGCGCGAUUCCGGGGGAUCCCCGGUCCCUCGGGUCCCGUCCCCACAGCAAAGGGGGUCCGAGAGGGGCGCGGGGGCAGCGCCCUGGUACUCACCGCGGCGGCCACGGUGUCGAGCUCUGCGCUGAGCAGCAGCCCGAAGCCCAGCCACAGCCACAUGCUGCCGCGCACCGUGCCGGCGGCUGGGCGUGGGGGCUCCGCGGGGCCGGCCCCACAGCCGUGCUUCUCCCCUCCGUGGCGGCCGCGGCUGCCUUCAGGGCGAGGGACUCGCCUCGCCGUAACCGAUGGGCGGCGGCAGCCCCCUCUCCUCCCCCGGGCGGAGACCCUGGGAGCGCGCAACCUCGCCCGCUCCCCGCGGUUCCUCCUCCUCCUCCUCCUCCUCCUUCUCCUCCUCCUCUGCCGGCCAUGGGUGGGUGGGUGCGGGCGGCGGGGGGGUAGAGGCGUCGCUUCCUCAUCCCGUACCGUCGCGGCCGCCCGGGAGGUCGCGGAGAGGAGCGGAGCGGGGCAGGGGCCGGGCCGGGCAGGGCGGCUGCGAGCCCCCCCCCAGCAGCGCCUCGCCGAGCUCCGGAGGGUGCCAGGAGCGGGCUCGGCUCGGCUCGGCUCGCAGGGGACGGCCCGGCGACGAGAGGAAGCCGUGAGCGGAGCC